Long non-coding RNA from Lolium rigidum, 3199 nucleotides. RefSeq lists it as uncharacterized. The record is from RefSeq and is a predicted model, not a curated record. NCBI's taxonomy places the organism in Eukaryota, Viridiplantae, Streptophyta, Magnoliopsida, Poales, Poaceae. The transcript is spliced from 3 exons.
CCCUAAUCACGCGGAGGCGUUGGCCUGGAUGCAGCUGCUGCCCCACUUCGCCCGCCCCUGCAACCUGUCUCCUGAAGAUGGUACUAAGAUGUAUAGUGUGGGUUGUGCCUAAAAUUCUAAUGAAUGCGGAGAUAUUGAUAGUUGCAUGUCUACAUCGAUCUACUUUCCUCAAUAUAUGGAGUUGGACAAAUAUUAUCCCGUCAAGUCUUCACUGUUGGCUUAAGUAUCAUGGUUGGAGUUCUCUAUUUUUCUCAACACAGGUUAUUCCAUAUUUGGAUUUAACCUCUCUACGCCCCUCAAGCUGAACUCUAAGUACGGUAUGCACGUUUUAUGGUCAAUUCAGGAAUGCUUAUGCUGAAUAGGAGUUAAUAAAUUUUCUUCUAGAAGGAAAACGAACCAUUUUGCUGGCUUUUGAUUUAGUUUCUUCACAAGGAAAGCGUUGUAUUCAUUUUGCCUCACACAAAUCAGAAUGGUUAGUUAUCUUGGUUUCACUACCAUAAUUCCAUCAGAUUGACUUUAGCUUGCAAGUACGAUUUUCUUUCUCACUCGGAUUAAUGGACACUUAGCAUUCAUCAUUUGCAUAUCUUUUUGGUUUAGUUGUCAAUAGAUUGAAUGGUUCAUAUUGUCAGUUCAGUACUUUGAUUAGUAUAUAUAAAGUAAUUUACACAUAACUUUCUUCAGCCAAGCUCAUACCAUAUAAUAUGGUAAAUAGCAUUUGGUUGUGGAAAAGCGUUGAAGCAAAUUUCUUCUGUGUUCUGUUGUGAUAUCAUAUUGCGAUGCUAACUAAUUUGGGAUCUUAGUUACGCAAUUUGUCGACAGCGUUUGUCACUAUACUGACGAAGCGGGUGGGCAUUGAUAUCUUACACUCUUUGUUCUCAUCAACGUAACUCGGUUUAUAAUUUGGGGCUUGCUUACAUUUCCUCUUCAACAUCUAGAGCAGUUUAUCACUACGUUAUUGAUAGUCUUUUCAUUUGUUUUUUUGUACGGCUCCAGCGUAGUAGACAUCACCUCUGCGUCAUUGAGCAUCGAAGGCGGAGGCUGCGGCAUAAGUGGUGGCUAACUGUCAAGAUGCAACAAUGCCACAUCGGUGCCUCAACUCGGCUUUACGUCCAGCAGCCAGGUCAUGGCCUGAUGUCCAUUAAAGAUCGAACAGUGUUGGGGAACCACUCGGAGAGAGUAGUGGGCUGCGGGAAGCAUCUCCGUGCACCAGCGAGGAGGUGGUGACGCUGCUGCGCAGUUGGAGGCGAAGAAGUCAGCAUUCUGGGAGGAGUUAUUCAAAUCAGAUGUUCAGUAAAUAAGUCCAAGUAACUUUAUUUCUACUAUUGUUCAGAAUCAUGCACUGCUGGAAUUCGAUCUCAAGCCAGAGCUAGAUGUUGCUUAUAUUCAUAUGAACUUACUUUUUUCAUUUCUGUUCAGCAGUUACUUUUGUCAAAUUUCAAUCCAAUUAAAUUUGUUGAUCUGUUACUUUUGUCGUAGCACUGUCUUACUCUUACGGCCAUGGUUUUUUAUGUUGGUACAUUUUAAUCAGACAUGUCAGUUGACGGAUUUUAAAAUACUUCAUAAAUACUAUGACAUAGCUUUGCUUUCAACUAUGCUGAUUCAACAAUUUGACAUCUGGGUCGGACGUGUUAAUAUGAGGAUAUUAUGAUCUAGAUGAACUUUCGUUAUGCUCUAACAUUUCAUAUUGAUAGAAUUUGGAGCAACGAAUUUGACGAGCUAAAAUAUUUUUAGGUGUUGAUAUAUGGAUAACAUGAUCUAGACAAACUUUAAUCAUUCUUUGUGCUUUUAAAGCCACUCAUAUUAUGAUCAUCCAACCAGCUCAUAUCAGCUGUUCAUCUUUAUUGUCCACAUGGAAUAAAGAAAGAUAAUAACAGGAGUUCUUGCCAUAUUUCAGCACAGAAACAAUGAGGUCAGGUAUCAUGUUCCUUUCAUCUUCCUAAUAUUUUUCACAAAAAAAUAUUGUAUAGCUUUUCAGGUUCAUUUGGCAUCAAAUUGAGAUCUCUGUUUAUUCCUGCAAAUCAGUCUGUACAGGUUCAGACUACCGAGACUACAGAUACAAUUUGCUUCCAACCAAUAAAACAUACCAUAGAUCAUGAUUGUAAAACAUAGCAUAUUUUAGAUCUGCUGGCAAAGAAAAGUUUAUAUUGUUGGUACCUCUGAUUUGUUAAAUGAUUCACUGUCAAAAUUGUUGUUAGAUGUUAACGACUUAAGGCAUUCUUCUUUGUGCAUAUUAACAUAACCUCUGAUUUAUAUGAUGUUUUAUUGCAUAGUAAUCGUCUUAGGCUGUUUUGACAUGGGUGAAAGGGGGAUGAUCAAAAUGAACUUUAGCUGCUAUGUUUACAUCUUGGGAGAAUCCUGUGGCCAGGAUGGUGGUAGUUUGAAAUAGUGGUUGUAGUUCUUGACAGUUGUUAGUUGGGUUUUCAUCAAAAAAUGUUAUUAGAUUGUUUAGUAGUUCAAAAAUUGCAAUGUCCGGACACUACUGCGCUAGCUUCUUCAAAUUUUUACCACUUUUUGUGAAAGAUUUUGAAAUAGAGAACCGACAAUAUAUUUGAUGUAAAAUGGCGAGGGAGCAUUUUUAUUUAAAAGAAGUUAUGGAAAUAUAUUUUGCUGAAUAUAAUGUAGUGCAGAUUGUACUGCAAAAAAAAAUCAUGUUCCAGGCAUGUUCAUUAUCCCUUUGAAUUUUGUAUUUGUUUUAGCCCUCAUGGGCUGCUAUAUUGGAUUCAAACUUACUAUGUGAUCUAUACAGGAUUGGGGUUCAUGUGUCUCUGGACUUAAUAUUCUAAUACAUGCUAAUGGUCUCAUCUCUACUCACGUUUUCAUGUCCUGAUGUGGAUUUACUUACGAUUUCAUUACGCUGUCAGAUGAGCAGUGCAGAUUUCAGAGCUAGGAGACUAGCAAGGCAAUAUACUAUAGAUUGGUCACAAGGUGAGGAUAUAGCAUGCAACCUUUUGGCCAAUAUACUACAAAAUUUAUGAUGAGUAUUGAAGUGAAGACAGCUGGUAUUAGCUUGUGGACCUUAGUCCUUACAUAUGGUGUCAAGCUAACUACAUCUUAGGCCCAUCAUUUUUCGAAGUUCUUUUGUGUUUUAGCAAAAUAGCAUAUCAUUUCUGAUCUUACAGAUGAAUUCUCACAGCGAACAUGAAUUGUUGUUGUCGGAUCAAGUUUAUUUUUCAUGCUUUGACUUCAAAGGGCAAAUAUA